Molecule: long non-coding RNA, 895 nt
Organism: Equus caballus (horse)
Lineage: Eukaryota; Metazoa; Chordata; Mammalia; Perissodactyla; Equidae
Source: RefSeq, a predicted model, not a curated record
AGAGACAAAAUCGCAGCUCAGAUUACAGCAAUGCCCUUGAGCCCCUAAAGAUAGUGUCCUGCGCAGUACCCUCCUUAAGGUCAUGGACAUCUUUGAAGCUUAGCAGAGUGCCAGGCCAUGGUGUUUCAGAUAUGGCUGCCGAGCCAAGCCAAAUUAAUUUGGAACGUUUCUAAACAUAAUGAACAACACUGAACAUGAAUCAUUUCUGGGUUUGCUUUCCAUACAAUGGGUCCUAGCUCAAUUCCUUGUUCAAUAAACAGAUUUGGAAAAAAGUGGGUCAGAGACCCAGCUUAUGAAACAACUUCUAUCUGAGGAUUACAGAGCAGCAUUUCAUCUUAACAUGCUUGAGAAGAAACUGCUUUUAUUUCAACGUUGCCUUCAUCAGAGAUACCCCACCACCACAGAAACUGCCAAUACCCAUGCAGGUGCCCCCUUGGACCCUGGGCAUUUGCAGAACCUGACCAGCAAUGGGAGUGGGGCCAGAAACCUGCAGCUACAGAUAAUGAGAAUAUGAAAGAUGAGAUGCUUGGAGUACCAGUCAACCUGAAGUAUGAGAUGGGCUGAAACAAAUUUCUUUCCACCCAGGGAAACCCUCCCGUUGACCAGAAGAAGAAGGCAGGGGAAAAGACGAAAUGAGUUAUGACUGCGGCCUACCUCACCAAAUGCCUUUGGCCCGUGUAGAUUUCUCCUAAUAGCCUUGGAACAUCAGACGUGUAGAAGGAAAAGGAAACACACCAGCCUUGCGAUUUUUGAGUGGCUGUUCUCCUUCUGAGUAGCAGUUUUAGACUGUCUUCUCUUGAGGACACAGAAUCGACUUUCCAUUUUUGUGAUUUCUACUCAAAUCGUCUAAUAUUUUGCACCUAGCUUGUGCUCAGUAAAAAUGUUGGACCAACAA